GAGUUUGAUUCUGGCUCAGGAUGAACGCUGGCGGCGUGCUUAACACAUGCAAGUCGAACGAAGCGGGAAGGAAGAAGUUUUUCGAAAUGGAUUUUUUCUUUGCUUAGUGGCGGACGGGUGCGUAACACGUAGGUAACCUGCCCUGUGCUUGGGAAUAACUCCGGGAAACCGGUGCUAAUGCCGAAUAAUAUCGCCUGUCGGCAUCGAGAGGCGAUCAAAGAAUUUCGGCACAGGAUGGGCCUGCGCCGGAUUAGCUGGUUGGUGAGGUAACGGCUCACCAAGGCGACGAUCCGUAGCCGACCUGAGAGGGUGAUCGGCCACACUGGAACUGAGACACGGUCCAGACUCCUACGGGAGGCAGCAGUGGGGAAUAUUGCACAAUGGGGGAAACCCUGAUGCAGCAACGCCGCGUGAGCGAUGAAGGCUUUCGAGUCGUAAAGCUCUGUCCUAUGGGAAGA
This 458-nucleotide ribosomal RNA is filed under the name Peptostreptococcaceae bacterium canine oral taxon 071. RNAcentral's name for it is "bacterial SSU rRNA". It matches the Rfam family "Bacterial small subunit ribosomal RNA", at positions 9 to 448 of the family's 1533-position model. The record is from RNAcentral. Lineage: Bacteria; Bacillati; Bacillota; Clostridia; Peptostreptococcales; Peptostreptococcaceae.